UAGGGAAUCUUCGGCAAUGGACGAAAGUCUGACCGAGCAACGCCGCGUGAGUGAAGAAGGUUUUCGGAUCGUAAAACUCUGUUGUUAGAGAAGAACAAGGACGUUAGUAACUGAACGUCCCCUGACGGUAUCUAACCAGAAAGACACGGCUAACUACGUGCCAGCAGCCGCGGUAAUACGUAGGUGGCAAGAGUUGUCCGGAUUUAUUGGGCGUAAAGCGAGCGCAGGCGGUUUCUUAAGUCUGAUGUGAAAGCCCCCGGCUCAACAGGGGAGGGUCAUGGGAAACUGGGAGACUUGAGUGCAGAAGAGGAGAGUGGAAUUCCAUGUGUAGCGGUGAAAUGCGUAGAUAUAUGGAGGAACACCAGUGGCGAAGGCGGCUCUCUGGUCUGUAGCUGACGCUGAGGCUCGAAAGCGUGGGGAGCAAACAGG
Molecule: ribosomal RNA, 429 nt
Filed under: Gemmatimonadota bacterium
Lineage: Bacteria; Pseudomonadati; Gemmatimonadota
Description: Gemmatimonadetes bacterium partial 16S ribosomal RNA
Rfam family: Bacterial small subunit ribosomal RNA
Source: RNAcentral